UACGUAGGGUGCAAGCGUUAAUCGGAAUUACUGGGCGUAAAGCGUGCGCAGGCGGUUUUGUAAGUCUGUCGUGAAAUCCCCGGGCUUAACCUGGGAAUGGCGAUGGAGACUGCAAGGCUAGAGUUUGGCAGAGGGGGGUAGAAUUCCACGUGUAGCAGUGAAAUGCGUAGAGAUGUGGAGGAACACCGAUGGCGAAGGCAGCCCCCUGGGUCAAAACUGACGCUCAUGCACGAAAGCAUGGGGAGCAAACAGG
This 253-nucleotide ribosomal RNA is filed under the name uncultured bacterium. RNAcentral describes it as "partial 16S ribosomal RNA". It matches the Rfam family "Bacterial small subunit ribosomal RNA", at positions 524 to 776 of the family's 1533-position model. The record is from RNAcentral.